Molecule: ribosomal RNA, 279 nt
Filed under: uncultured bacterium
Lineage: Bacteria
Description: partial 16S ribosomal RNA
Rfam family: Bacterial small subunit ribosomal RNA
Source: RNAcentral
UACGUAGGUGGCAAGCGUUGUCCGGAAUUAUUGGGCGUAAAGCGCGCGCAGGUGGUUUCUUAAGUCUGAUGUGAAAGCCCACGGCUCAACCGUGGAGGGUCAUUGGAAACUGGGGAACUUGAGUGCAGGAGAGAAGAGUGGAAUUCCACGUGUAGCGGUGAAAUGCGUAGAGAUGUGGAGGAACACCAGUGGCGAAGGCGACUCUUUGGCCUGUAACUGACACUGAGGCGCGAAAGCGUGGGGAGCAAACAGGAUUAGAAACCCCGAGUAGUCCCUGAA